AGCCCCCCUCAAGAUGAGAUUUCCCAAUUAGUAAGACCCCUGGAAGACGACCAGGUUGAUAGGUUCGAGGUGGAAGCGCAGCAAUGCGUGGAGCUGACGAAUACUAAUCGGUCGAGGGCUUAUCCUAAA
This 129-nucleotide ribosomal RNA is filed under the name Paenibacillus montanisoli. RNAcentral's name for it is "partial 23S ribosomal RNA". It matches the Rfam family "Bacterial large subunit ribosomal RNA", at positions 2791 to 2925 of the family's 2925-position model. Lineage: Bacteria; Bacillati; Bacillota; Bacilli; Caryophanales; Paenibacillaceae. The record is from RNAcentral.